Molecule: long non-coding RNA, 1567 nt
Organism: Dreissena polymorpha
Lineage: Eukaryota; Metazoa; Mollusca; Bivalvia; Myida; Dreissenidae
Exons: 3
Source: RefSeq, a predicted model, not a curated record
AAAAAACAUCUUAUAAAUUACACGUAUUACUAUCAAGGUGGUAUGGACCCUUUUGCAUUAUCCGACCAUUACGUCCAUAGUUAUCUUCCUUAGAAAUUGAGAAAUUUUGAAAUCCUUGUUCAAAGUCCCAAAUUUUUAUCCUUUUCUUUCCAAACAUGCACAUUUUUUUUUUAUCAAUCAGAACCCAAUCCAAACCCUAUAUGAGCAAUAUAGAAAAAAAACAUCGUUCCAUAUAACUUCAUUGAUUGCCUUUUACACUGAAAUUCCCGACGCCCUUUGAUGCUUUGCAUCAAUAAUUAUCUUGUAAUUCUAGUGUAAAAUGUCUUGAAAUACUUCCAGCAUGAAGUGUUAUGUGAUGAAAACAAUGUAUAUUUACUACAAUUUGUAAAUUAAGAAUAAGUUUGUUGCAAAGUAGAUUCAAAGUGGGUGGUUAAAGUGGUAUGGUCUCAUAGUUCAGCAAUUGCCUGUUUGGAAUACUGAAGAACAGUUGUAACAGGUUUGUAUUUGAAUUUCUGCAUCCAUUUUUUAUUUAUUUUAUUGAAUUAAUAAUUAUCAUUAUCAUAUUUAUGUAUUGUCACUGGGAAAUGUAAAUGUAUAAGUAAAUGUAAUGUAAAGGAAAAACUACAACAUUUGAAUUAUUAUCGCUUUAUUUUAUCGUUAUUGUCAUCUUAAAUGUUAGUUAUACCUAUUUCUGGUCAGCAAUGAACAGAUUUCUUUCCCCCAUAUUUAAUCAGAACUUUUAUAUUGAUCAGAAGAUCCUUUGGAAAGAAUGUUCUUCAUCAUCGCCUGCAAAAAAGGGCAAAAGGUGGAUUAUCUGAUGUACCAAGUUUUACCCUGCACGAGCAGGCCAAUUUAAGGGGAACAGGAAUGGGAAAACUGCACCCUGACCUUGACCAAGAAAAGCUGGAUUUGUUGAGAGGACCUGAUCUCAAAUGAGAUCAUGCACGAGGCGGGCCUCGCAAAGGCCACAAUAGUUUUCAGACCUGAUCGGCUGGUGAACUGCUCUAUGAAGGGUGGUUCAACCACCCCUACGGGGGGAGAUUCAAGAGGGUCUCCCGAUUGCCGAACGCUGCGCCAUAAUGUCAUCUCCAAAAAGUUUGCCCUGUCCAUCUCAACAGUGAAAGAAAAAAUGAGAUGGGCCUUAAGGAGGCUUGUGUGAUGAACAGCGCGGAGAAUUUAUGAGAUGAAUUGUGUAGUGCUGAGCAACUUUGUUGCGUUUGUAUAUAGGAGUAAAUAUGUGUAAAGGGCUUUUCCAUGAAAAAAUAUGAUAAGGGUUCUUUAGUUGCGUCAUUUUAUAAAUCCGGUACCACCAACACAGUUUAACACACUUAUUAUUAAUUUUAUCAUGCUUAUCACCAUUCACUAACUGGUACUGUAUACAUCAUGGUUCAUACCCCUUCUCCAGUUUUCACCAGUGGUAGCCCUCAUGAACAUUUUAUUGUCUCCUACAGGUUUCACCGAAGGGGACUUAUGGUUUGCGCUCAGUCAAUCUGUCUGUCUUGUCAGUCUGUCCGUCACACUUUUCUGGAUCAUGCGAUAACUUUAAAAGUUCUUCAUAGUUUUCAGG